ACCCUGCUUGGGAAACACUGGUCUAUGUAGAGGGCCGGAACUUCUUCGGGGUCCUGUACAGUACACGCAAUGUCCUAAAAAAGUAACAUGGAGUCUCCCUUACCUGGUGUCAAAAGGAGCAGGAAACCCUGGUACAGGGGCCACCGGGAGGUAGCACACUCAGGGAUGUCACUGAUGUCCCUUGUGUGCGCCCAUAGCGACGGGGGAGCAGAGUAUCGAUGAGGAGGACUAUCCAGCAUGCAACUUGGCAGUGCUGCAGUAGGUGACAAUAGUAGGGAGGUUUUGGAAAAAAAACGGACAUUGUAGCGCAAUCCACACUGGUUUUUCCAAAACCUCCCUACCACUGUACUAUUCGGCUGGAGGCCUCUUCAUGCUGACACCGGGGAAACAGCACCACUAUGUUUGAUUGAUGCGCAAAUAGUAGUUAUGUCUGCCAUACAACUAAAUCAGUUAUUAAUUAAAAAUAUCAUUUUCAAGUUGAGGAAGCCAAGAUGCCAUGAAGCAAAAAGUGAUAAUUAUGAAAAUAAUGUCUUGCCAGCAAGGGGAUUAUAAUCCUAUUAAUAGCACUUUGAGAACUGUUAUGACUUUUUACUUCACAUUAACCCAAUUUUAAAAGGCCUUUGACAGCUGAUUUCAAAUAGAUAUAUAGCAAAAAAAGAGAAAAUGUCCAUUUACUUCAACCUGUUAUCCAGAGACAGACAAAACAUGUCCCUAUGGGAUAACUGCCAACUGUCCUCAUUGUAGGAAAAAGAAAAUCCUUCUUGACUCCAAUCACAAUAAAUUCCUUGAUGAAUUAUCUG
Long non-coding RNA from Hyla sarda, 800 nucleotides. RefSeq lists it as uncharacterized. The record is from RefSeq and is a predicted model, not a curated record. The transcript is spliced from 4 exons. Lineage: Eukaryota; Metazoa; Chordata; Amphibia; Anura; Hylidae.